Molecule: long non-coding RNA, 229 nt
Filed under: Coffea arabica (coffee)
Lineage: Eukaryota; Viridiplantae; Streptophyta; Magnoliopsida; Gentianales; Rubiaceae
Description: long non-coding RNA (CARA_LNC005146)
Source: RNAcentral
UGUUGGAGAUGUGCACAUGUGCCUUAGUCUGCAGAACAAGUCUUUAGGAAUGUUUUGUUUGUUGCUUGUUUUUAGGAAAUCAGUUGCAUAUGUUUAGGAGCGGUUAUGAUGUAGUGGGUUAUGCUUUGAGGUCAUGUGAACAUGGUUGUUAUGAUUUUUUUCUUAUAUAUACAUUCAGCAAUAAAGAAGUAGAUGUAGACUUCCCAAAUACAUCAAAAUCUAACAACAA